UACGUAGGGACCGAGCGUUGUCCGGAAUCAUUGGGCGUAAAGAGCGUGUAGGCGGCUAUUUAAGUCCUGCGUGAAAUCCUGCGGCUCAACCGCAGACGGUCGUGGGAAACUGGAUGGCUAGAGUGCGGGAGAGGAGAGUGGAAUUCCCGGUGUAGCGGUGAAAUGCGCAGAUAUCGGGAGGAACACCGGUGGCGAAGGCGGGUCUCUGGGCCGAUACUGACGCUGAGGAGCGAAAGCGUGGGGAGCAAACAGG
Molecule: ribosomal RNA, 253 nt
Filed under: uncultured bacterium
Lineage: Bacteria
Description: partial 16S ribosomal RNA
Rfam family: Bacterial small subunit ribosomal RNA
Source: RNAcentral